This is a non-coding RNA of Caenorhabditis elegans, 21 nucleotides long. The record is from Ensembl. NCBI's taxonomy places the organism in Eukaryota, Metazoa, Nematoda, Chromadorea, Rhabditida, Rhabditidae.
UGUAUCUUGGAUUCUAUCGGA